GCAAGUUAUCGGAAAUACUCCUGAACCUGAAGUGCUUUUACAGGAAGCGAGGCCUCGCCCUUGUUGGUUCCGCAGUGAGUUGUCAAGCUAACUUCGACUUCAUGGGGGCGACUAUGCUAUCGUUCAAUGGGCUUAUACAGGACGACGGUUACAUAUUUGGACUCAAACCUGUGGGUUAGACCAAGGGCCACCAGCGGAUGGGCACCCCAG
This 210-nucleotide unclassified non-coding RNA is filed under the name Hevea brasiliensis (rubber tree). Lineage: Eukaryota; Viridiplantae; Streptophyta; Magnoliopsida; Malpighiales; Euphorbiaceae. The record is from RNAcentral.